Oenanthe melanoleuca is the source of this 539-nucleotide long non-coding RNA. RefSeq lists it as uncharacterized. The record is from RefSeq and is a predicted model, not a curated record. The transcript has 2 exons. Lineage: Eukaryota; Metazoa; Chordata; Aves; Passeriformes; Muscicapidae.
GCACAUGGAGCUCUGCUGGGAGCACACAGCUGAGGAAUCUCCACGUGUUUGGAGAGCCCUGCCUUUCCAUGCCUCUCCCAAGAAGACAUGGAUCAGGAGCCAGCCAGGAGAGGAUCUGGGGAUGUAGUAGGGACAGAUCCAGCAGCCCCAACUUGUGCUUGCCCGUCUGGAAAUCAGUGGGAGCUGUGCCUGCAUGGGAAAGAGCUGCAGGACCACGAUCAGGAGUGGCUGACAUGAAAUGGGGCUCCCUGCUUCGGUCUGGGAGAGGCCAGAAAAACAGAGGCCACAGCAUGCUGCACAGUUUGCAAGUGACACUUGGUGUUAGCCAAAAUACACAUCAAUACAAAGGAGGCGUGUGUGGUCAAAGGCACAUUCCUUUACCACACUAUUACUGUAAUAUCCCACUGCCUCCACAUUAAUUUGUUCCCAGGAAAUUCCAUCAUCACUAUUUCAAGCUUGUGGCUGUUCAAGCCACUCAGGAUGAUGGGAAAUUACCCUGCUCAGGAAAACAGAAUAAUAAAAGCAGUGAUUAAAUUUGC